CCGGUCGGCCCCACCCCUCCUCCUCGUGCGCCCGCCCGCCCCAAACUCCGGCAAACAAAACGUACCAUUCACAACUCUGCGACCGGAGCCGCGCAUGCGCCGCCCACCCGCUUGCGGGGCGGCUGGACUGCAGCGAGCCAGAGGUGCGGCUCUCUCACCCUUGCGGGCCCGCGGUUUCCUCUGUGUAGAACUGCUCUGCGGACAUCUGCCCGGACCUUGGAGAGAGGGAGCCGCUCGCGCGGUUCCUUUCUGUCGACUGUAUGAAACUUUGGGGCUUCUCAGCUGCUUGGAGUGACCCCAGAUUGUCACCUGAACCAAACUAAACUGAACCAAAAAAACCCUAUGGGACAGGCUGCGGUAUGCCCAGGUCGAGUUGCAGGAGAGGCCAGAGUGAGGAGUCUGGAUGUAGCACCAAGACCUACACCAAUGGACAAGCGAGGAUGGAGUAUGGAUAUCCUGAGGUCCCUUCUGAGAUAAUGAAGAAAAAAGCCAGGUCCUUAAUGCUGGUAUAGUCUCAUCCAAAAGGCCAUCUUCUCCUCCUUGAGCUUCACACCCACCCUCGUGAUGAAAUCCAACUGCAGCGCUUACUGCUCCGGGACUGCAGGAUGUACCCAAGCACUUGGACAUCCCCAGAAGAGCCAAUGGGAUCUGAUCUCAUGCACAGUACUACCCAAGAGGAAUCCUCUGCUACUCCCGCUGGGGUGGGCACCCCUCCUAUUGACUUACAAAAGGUAAGAGCCAACUGAACUCCAGGUUGUUGACACCCAGAAGAUAGGGCACAGGUGCAACUUGCCCCUGGCUCAGGAGCACUGCUGGGUCAUCUGGGAACACCACACCAUCCACCACCGGGCUCAUGAACCACACAACCUACAAGGCAAGGGGCAUUUCCAAAUAGUCCUCCCACAUAUCCUCCCAGGAUCCCUGUAGCCUAGGGUUCCCAGCUCAGCAGGUCCCCAUCCAGAGAUUUCUUUAUCCAUAGGCCCUUUGGGAAAAGCUGGGCUUCAGUGACCCCUUGGAGGGCAGGAGAUGCUCACCCCCAGGUAUCUACUUUCCUCACCUCUUGACAAUCUUUGCUAAAUGUCACCUUCUGAAUGAAGCUUUCUUUGUCCCUCCUAUUUAAAAUUCUAUGCCUUACUUACCCUGCUCCAUUUGUCACUAUUCACUUUCCUUCUAAAGAGGUAAAUGAGUUAUUUAUGUAUAGUGAUUACUGCCUGUCUCCACUGGAACAUCAGUCCUACUCGGGAAGGAAUCUUGGUCUGAACAGUUCACUUAGUAUCCUGAAUGCCUGGCACAUAGGAGGAGGUGUUCAAUAAAUACUGUAUCACAGAAUAGGGCCUGCUCACCUCCUGAGGGUCUUUCUGGGAGUUCAGGUGGAAGAAUCCCUGUAGGGGAGAGGAGGAAACUAGAGUUAAAGAAAGUCUCCCCACUGUGCUCCUUAGACAGGGUCCCUGGGGGCAGCCGGGUAUCAGGUCAGGUAGGUGGCUUACAGGUGGCCAGGUGAAGGAGCUAGAAGGAAGUUUUACCUACCAUCUUCUUAGAUACAUGCAUCACCUCAGCCCCUGAUCGUGCCCUCAGGCAGUCUACCAGAAUCCGUGUGCUGUUGUAGGUACAGCCUGCCAGGCGGGCAACUGUCUGUGGAGAAGAGGUGUUCAGGCCCAUCCUGCCCCUUCUUGCUGAGUCCUGGGGGAGAGGAGACACCCACCUUGGCCACCUUCAGCGGGUCAGGAGUGAUGAAGGCUCUGAGUGCUGCGGUGCCGCUCUGGGAAAUGGCCCGAUGAAAGAGACCGCGGGCUAGGGGUGACAUCAUCUGCAGGGGUGGGGAGUGUGGUACCCAUGAGAGGCACAAGUAGAAGUCAUUUGGGCAGUUUUGGGUGCCUUUCUGGCCAGGGCUGGGCAGCGUGAAGGGGCCCAAAGAGUGCAGGCAGCUUGGGAGGGAGUCAAGAGUCCUGGGUUGGAGUCCUGGACCUACAGCCGGUGCCUUCAUGCCUGUGGGCCCCCCUAUCCUGGCCCCUGCAAUGGGCCCCAGCAGUUCCAGAGGGGAUCUGAGCUUGUGGGAAGGGUUCUGCUGGUGUAGGAAAGAGACUCUCUAUGCUUCUGGGUUAGAAAUGGGGGGGGGGGGUGUUGGUUCCUAUGGCCCCUUUAACCUGUAUUGACAGUUCUUAACUUUCUUUGCUGCCCAAGUUGGAAGAGCAACUAUAACUGGGACCCCUCAUCUUGUCUCUUGGACACUUCAGACUUCAUGUGCCCCAAACUUGUUCUAGCUGGUUCCCAUCUGAGUGGCAUCCCUCACACUACACCAUCCAUCCAGCCCCAGGGGCCUUUCCUAUCAUCUCUGCUCACCCCUCCACCCAGCUGCCCUAGUCCUGUCCAUCUGGCUUCCUGCAUCCCUCUUCAGCUACCUUCUACUUUCCAGUCUUCUUGCUUCUGUUUCAGAGGCAGGCCUCAUCCUCUCUUCUAAGAUAUACCCCACCUCCACUCCCAGAUGGCCUCCAGGCCUCUCCUCCUGCUUCUUCCUAACUCAGUUCCAGCACACUGAGCCAUCUCUCUAAAUGCACUUCUGGCUGUGUCACUUCUCUGCUUCAAAUCUUUCCCUGUUCUCCAAUGUAUUUUGAAUGAAGCUGCUUAACCUUUCUGGA
Molecule: long non-coding RNA, 2636 nt
Organism: Herpailurus yagouaroundi (jaguarundi)
Lineage: Eukaryota; Metazoa; Chordata; Mammalia; Carnivora; Felidae
Exons: 4
Source: RefSeq, a predicted model, not a curated record